CGUAGGGUGCGAGCGUUAAUCGGAAUUACUGGGCGUAAAGCGUGCGCAGGCGGUUAUGCAAGACAGGUGUGAAAUCCCCGGGCUCAACCUGGGAACUGCACUUGUGACUGCAUGACUAGAGUGCGUCAGAGGGAGGUGGAAUUCCGCGUGUAGCAGUGAAAUGCGUAGAGAUGCGGAGGAACACCGAUGGCGAAGGCAGCCUCCUGGGAUGACACUGACGCUCAUGCACGAAAGCGUGGGAGCAAACAGGAUU
RNAcentral lists this ribosomal RNA (253 nucleotides) under uncultured bacterium. RNAcentral's name for it is "partial 16S ribosomal RNA". It matches the Rfam family "Bacterial small subunit ribosomal RNA", at positions 526 to 779 of the family's 1533-position model. The record is from RNAcentral.